GAGUUUGAUCCUGGCUCAGGACGAACGCUGGCGGCGCGCCUAACACAUGCAAGUCGAACGAGAGAGAAGGAGCUUGCUUCUUCGAUCGAGUGGCGAACGGGUGAGUAACGCGUGAGGAACCUGCCUCAAAGAGGGGGACAACAGUUGGAAACGACUGCUAAUACCGCAUAAGCCCACGGGUCGGCAUCGACCUGAGGGAAAAGGAGCAAUCCGCUUUGAGAUGGCCUCGCGUCCGAUUAGCUAGUUGGUGAGGUAACGGCUCACCAAGGCGACGAUACAUAGCCGACCUGAGAGGGUGAUCGGCCACACUGGGACUGAGACACGGCCCAGACUCCUACGGGAGGCAGCAGUGGGGAAUAUUGCACAAUGGAGGAAACCCUGAUGCAGCGACGCCGCGUGAAGGAAGAAGUAUCUCGGUAUGUAAAGCUCUAUCAGCAGGGAAGAAAAUGACGGUACCUGACUAAGAAGCCCCGGCUAACUACGUGCCAGCCGCCGCGGUAAUUC
RNAcentral lists this ribosomal RNA (504 nucleotides) under uncultured bacterium. RNAcentral's name for it is "bacterial SSU rRNA". It matches the Rfam family "Bacterial small subunit ribosomal RNA", at positions 9 to 526 of the family's 1533-position model. The record is from RNAcentral.